ACCUGAAGAACUGCAGCCUACUUG
Molecule: non-coding RNA, 24 nt
Filed under: Arabidopsis thaliana (thale cress)
Lineage: Eukaryota; Viridiplantae; Streptophyta; Magnoliopsida; Brassicales; Brassicaceae
Source: RNAcentral